CCUACGGGAGGCUGCAGUGGGGAAUAUUGGACAAUGGGGGCAACCCUGAUCCAGCCAUGCCGCGUGUGUGAAGAAGGCCUUCGGGUUGUAAAGCACUUUAAGUGGGGAGAAAGGCUCGGCAGCUAAUAUCUGCCGGGAUUGAUGCUACCCACAGAAUAAGCACCGGCUAACUCUGUGCCAGCAGCCGCGGUAAUACAGAGGGUGCAAGCGUUAAUCGGAAUUACUGGGCGUAAAGCGCGCGUAGGCGGCUGUCUAAGUCGGAUGUGAAAUCCCCG
This 275-nucleotide ribosomal RNA is filed under the name uncultured bacterium. Its description in RNAcentral is "partial 16S ribosomal RNA". It matches the Rfam family "Bacterial small subunit ribosomal RNA", at positions 338 to 605 of the family's 1533-position model. The record is from RNAcentral.